GGGGGGUGCCAUCCCGAAGCUUUCGAACUCCUUUCUAUGUCUUAGAUUGCAUUUAAUCUCAUCUCUUCAUGUUGCAUUGUAGGAUUGCAUAGUAGCUCCAUUCCUUAUGCUUUCUAAAUGAUAACCUAGUGUACUUGGAACGCUUGGUAACUUAGAUAGGUGAGGAUUGGGUCGGAACGUGGAUCCUAUGAUGCGAAAGAAAAGAGAUGAACCCGAUGGGGGUAUUGAUGACAUAGAAAGUAGUGUAAAGUGUUAAAGAACAAACGAGUGACAUCCAAAUGUUAAAUAAUGACGAGUGGCAUUAAUGUAGUGUAAUGACACUAGUAGUCGAUGGACCUAGGGAUAGGUGGAUCCCUUAGAAAAUGCCUUGUGAACAAUGAAUUUAGAAAAGCUAAAUAGCAUUGCAUGAAUGUCGGGAACCAAUGAUCCCGCGAGAAAUGUUGACUCUAGUUGUAGAGCGUCCUCACUUGGAGAGGAUUUGAUUGGGUUGUGGACCCUAGU
Molecule: long non-coding RNA, 501 nt
Filed under: Ananas comosus (pineapple)
Lineage: Eukaryota; Viridiplantae; Streptophyta; Magnoliopsida; Poales; Bromeliaceae
Description: long non-coding RNA (ACOM_LNC038259)
Source: RNAcentral